This 466-nucleotide ribosomal RNA is filed under the name uncultured bacterium. Its description in RNAcentral is "partial 16S ribosomal RNA". It matches the Rfam family "Bacterial small subunit ribosomal RNA", at positions 28 to 507 of the family's 1533-position model. The record is from RNAcentral.
GAUGAACGCUGGCGGCGUGCUUAACACAUGCAAGUCGAACGAUGAAGCCCAGCUUGCUGGGUGGUUUAGUGGCGAACGGGUGAGUAACACGUGAGUAACCUGCCCUUGACUCUGGGAUAAGCCUGGGAAACUGGGUCUAAUACUGGAUAUGACUUCUCAUCGCAUGGUGGGGGGUGGAAAGAUUUAUUGGUCUUGGAUGGACUCGCGGCCUAUCAGCUUGUUGGUGAGGUAAUGGCUCACCAAGGCGACGACGGGUAGCCGGCCUGAGAGGGUGACCGGCCACACUGGGACUGAGACACGGCGCAGACUCCUACGGGAGGCAGCAGUGGGGAAUAUUGCACAAUGGGCGCAAGCCUGAUGCAGCGACGCCGCGUGAGGGAUGACGGCCUUCGGGUUGUAAACCUCUUUCAGUAGGGAAGAAGCGAGAGUGACGGUACCUGCAGAAGAAGCGCCGGCUAACUACGUG